This is a long non-coding RNA of Corvus moneduloides (New Caledonian crow), 1665 nucleotides long. The record is from Ensembl. Lineage: Eukaryota; Metazoa; Chordata; Aves; Passeriformes; Corvidae.
AUGUGGGGUGGCUCCCGCGCCGUCUGGAAGAGGAGGUUCAGCUGCUGUGAGUGUGUUUGGGGAGGGGGAGGGGGGGUGUCAACCCCCGAGUGGGGUUUUUGGGGGGUGGGCAGCCCGCAGGAUGUGCUGAAGCUCUGCUCCCACCUCCCUGAGCCCUUCGCCGGGGAGUGGCCGGGAUGGGAGGUGAGUGUUGGGCAAGGAAUGCCGAGACCCCCCCAUGGAUGCGGCACAAUCCCACCUGGAGCUGCAGGGUGGUGGGGGGCACAUCCUCAUCCUGUGGGGACAAGUGCGAGGAGCUGGUGGUCCCUGGAGCCGUUUUAUGGCCAGGAUCCUGUGGCCGUGCUGUGUGCUGGGCUGCCGGCACCGAGCUGGAGUGGGAUACAGGCAGAACCCGGCUCAAAAGCCCUGCCCAAGUCAGGGUGGGGGCCGUGGGUGCCCCCCCAGCAGCUCAGCAGAGUGGCUUGGGAAGAAGAGGAGGAGGAUGAUGGAGGCCGGGGCCGUGUUUUUGGGGAGCAGCGACAACACGCUGGGGUUGUAGGAACACAGGAACAUACUCCCGGCUGCAGGGACCCUCUGGAGAGGGGUCCCUGGGCAGGGGGGCUGCAACUCCCCUUGGCAGCGGGGAGUGAGGCCUUGGGCACGGCUGGAGCUGCUGUUGUGGGGCUCGGGGGGCUUGGGGGGGCCAGUGGGUUCAGUGUGGGGGGUGGGCACCCAGUUUUCUGCCCAGGGACAACCCCCCAGCUGAGACCACCCGUCCUCCCUCCCCCCGCAGAUGGUCCCUGGGAGUCUGCCGAGAGCUGCAUCGUGUACACCUCCGCCAGCGUCUACCGCCGGCUGCAGGAGAGCCCGCGGCAGCCCCCGCGGGGGAUGAGCACCCGGGGACCCCCCAGCAGCCUCCCGGCCGGCGGGAGAUUCCUCAAGUCCGAGUCCGAGGAUUCCGGCGUGGAGAUGGCCAGCAACGAGCACUCGCCCUCCACCCCGCUGGGCUCCGAGAGCAGCUUCUCCCUCGACGGCUUCCCGGCGGAGAAGCCCCCCGGAGAGGAGCCCCCGCGGACACCCCGGAGCCGCUCGGCCAGCAGGAGGCUGCUGCAGGCAGCGCAGCGGAGCAGGAGGCAGCGCUGCCCGCGACAGCUCAGCCGGCGCAGCGCCAGCGCCGCCGACCUGGCAGAACCCCCGCGGGACCCCGAGGAGCCCGAGGCUGGGGGCGCUCGGCCGCCCGGCAGCCCUCGGGACCCCCGGGCUGUGCCCGAGGCCGCGGUGCCGGGGCAGGGGCUGCGCUACCUGGAGCACGUGUGCCAGAUGCUGGAGCGCCUGGCGCGGCUGCAGCAGGACAACCGCGUCCUCCGGCAGCAGGCGGCCGGAGCCCGGGGCGCCCGCCCGGACACCCUGCCCACCCGGCAGCCUCCGAGGCAGGAUUUGGGCACGUGGAGGGGCGAGGGGUUCCGGCCACGCUCCUGCUCGGACAGCCAGGCCCCAGCAGCUGACCCCGGGCCGUGCCGGAGGAUGUGGGGACCCUCGGUCAGCUCCCCCAGCCUGCUGGACCCCUCCGAGGGCGGGGCGGGUGCCCCGGCACCGGACAAGGACGGGCGCUCGCACUGGGGCCGGGUGAAGGUGCUGCUCACCCGCCUGACCCGCCGCUCCCUGCGGGGCGGCCGCUGCAGGUAG